Molecule: ribosomal RNA, 475 nt
Filed under: Phyllopezus pollicaris
Lineage: Eukaryota; Metazoa; Chordata; Lepidosauria; Squamata; Phyllodactylidae
Description: partial 16S ribosomal RNA
Rfam family: Bacterial large subunit ribosomal RNA
Source: RNAcentral
GUAAUCACUUGUCCCCUAAAUAGGGACCAGUAUGAACGGCUAAAUGAGGGCCUAACUGUCUCCUGUGGCCAAUCAAUGAAACUGAUCUUCCAGUAAAAAAGCUGGAAUAAACCCAUAAGACGAGAAGACCCUGUGGAGCUUUAAAUUAAUAUACUAUUAAAACCCCCACACCCCAACAAGGCCCAACAAUAAAAUAAAUAGUAUAAGUUUUAAGUUGGGGCAACUGCGGAAUAAAAAGACCUUCCAUGCAAAAGGAUAUACUAUCCAUUAAAGGACUACACACCAAAAAUAUUAUACAAAGCGACCCAGUACUACUGACCACCGAACCAAGUUACCCCAGGGAUAACAGCGCCAUCCUCUUCUAGAGUUCCUAUCGCCAAGAGGGCUUACGACCUCGAUGUUGGAUCAGGGCCCCCAGACGGUGCAGCCGCUGUCAACGGUUCGUUUGUUCAACGAUUAAUGCCCUACGUGAUCU